AAUUUUGGACAAUGGGGGAAACCCUGAUCCAGCCAUCCCGCGUGUAUGAUGAAGGCCUUCGGGUUGUAAAGUACUUUUGGCCGAGAAGAAACGGUACCUCCUAAUACGAGGUACUGCUGUGGGUAUCUGCAGAAUAAGCACCGGCUAACGACGUGCCAGCCGACUCGGCAAUACGUCGGGUGCAAGCGUUAAUCGGAAGUACUGGGCGUAAAGCGUGUGUAGGCGGUUCGGAAAGAAAGAUGUGAACUCCCAGGGCUCAACCUUGGAACUGCAUUUUUAGCUGCCGAGCUAGAGUAUGUCAGAGGGGGGUAGAAUUCCACGUGUAGCAGUGAAAUGCGUAGAUAUGUGGAGGAAUACCGAUGGCGAAGGCAGCCCCCUGGGAUAAUACUGACGCUCAGACACGAAAGCGUGGGGAGCAAACAG
RNAcentral lists this ribosomal RNA (423 nucleotides) under uncultured bacterium. Its description in RNAcentral is "partial 16S ribosomal RNA". It matches the Rfam family "Bacterial small subunit ribosomal RNA", at positions 360 to 775 of the family's 1533-position model. The record is from RNAcentral.